Molecule: long non-coding RNA, 1749 nt
Organism: Bombus huntii
Lineage: Eukaryota; Metazoa; Arthropoda; Insecta; Hymenoptera; Apidae
Exons: 2
Source: RefSeq, a predicted model, not a curated record
UAAAGUGGUCUCACGGAUGUAGUACUCUUUGAAUGAUUCAUUUUUCUUGAAUAUUUUUCUGUAACUGCACUGAUAACGGAGUUAAGACACGAAACAGUUGCGUGGAUCGUCCUGUGCCGAUUCAGACGAUGUGGCAAACUUCGCACAAAGUCUAAUUAUAAAAUUAGCGUAAUAUUAUGUAGAGGAUAUUAUAUUGUAUUUCCUUAUGGAAAUUAAAAUUGCCUAAUAAAAGAAAGAAAAAUAAAGCUCGGUUAAAUGUUCCACUGUAAAGCUUCUCAAUUUUUUCUGAACGUAUGUACUCACUUUUUUGACAUCCUGUAUAUUGUAAUUGAACUAUGGUAAUAUAUCCUACAAAGAAUAUUACAUUGUAUUUCCUUAUGGAAAUUAGAAUUGCCUAAUAAAAGAAAGAAAAAUAAAGCUCGGUUAAAUGUUCCACUGUAAAGCUUCUCAAUUUUUUCUGAACGUAUGUGCUCACUUUUUUGACAUCCUGUAUAUUGUAAUUGAACUAUGGUAAUAUAUCCUACAAAGAAUAUUACAUUGUAUUUCCUUAUGCAAAUUAGAAUUGCCUAAUAAAAGAAAAGUUGUCUAAUAAAAAAUAAAGUUUGGUUAAAUGUUCUACUGUAAACCUUCUCACUUCUUCCUAACCUUACAUGCUCUCAUUUUGUAUAUUGUACAUGAACUAUGGUAGCAUAUCCUUCAAAAAAUAUUACAUUACAUUUCCUUAUGGAAAUUAGAAUUGCCUAAUAAAAGAAAAGUUGUCUAAUUUGGUUAAAUGUUCCACUGUAAAGCUUUUCAAUUCUUCCUAACCUUGCAUGUUCUCAUUCUGUAUAUUGUACAUGAACUAUGGUAGCAUAUCCUUCAAAAAAUAUUACAUUACAUUUCCUUAUGGAAAUUAGAAUUGCCUAAUAAAAGAAAAGUUGUCUAAUUUGGUUAAAUGUUCCACUGUAAAGCUUUUCAAUUCUUCCUAACCUUGCAUGUUCUCAUUCUGUAUAUUGUACAUGAACUAUGGUAGCAUAUCCUUCAAAAAAUAUUACAUUACAUUUCCUUAUGGAAAUUAGAAUUGCCUAAUAAAAGAAAAGUUGUCUAAUUUGGUUAAAUGUUCCACUGUAAAGCUUUUCAAUUCUUCCUAACCUUGCAUGUUCUCAUUCUGUAUAUUGUACAUGAACUAUGGUAGCAUAUCCUUCAAAAAAUAUUACAUUACAUUUCCUUAUGGAAAUUAGAAUUGCCUAAUAAAAGAAAAAAAAAUAAAGCUCGGUUAAAUGUUCCACUGUAAACCUUCUCAAUUCUUUCCAAACUAAUGUGCUCACGCUUUCAACAUCCUGUAUAUUGUACACGACCAUGGCAGCCACUAGUUAUACGGAUACAAAACUACUUGCACGUAGAUUUCAUAUUCGAUUGAACAAGAGGCUGGCAACCCUCGGAACACAGUUAACCGGCCAUCUUCCUCUUUGACUAGUUUCAGAGCAGCAUUCCUUUGUUCUUCCAUGCUGGCGUGAGUGGCGUGCAACGUGCAACCCACUCGUUAAAACACGUAAUCGUAAGGAAGGAUGCAACGCGUGCUUUAACCCUGGAAUUCGUGUUUCCCGCGUAAACGUCGUGGGUAAUUCUGUGAAUAGUAUAGUCAGAUGCUUCCUGGGUACGAUCAGCGCAUAUUGGGGCCAUUUUACAAGACCACAUUAUGUGUCCGGCACUUUAUGGUUAAAACCUUAUGAACGUAUCACAAAAAUUUGCUUGCUUAACUCAUGUAAA